GUGCUCACGGGUCUGGCCAUCCUUGGAGAUACCAGCCUCAAAACCACCAGUGGUGGAGUCAAUUAUAAGCACCGCACAAUCAGCCCGGGAGGUCCCAGUGAUAAUGUUCUUGAUGAAAUCACGGUGUCCAGGAGCAUCGAUGACGAUGCAGGAGUACUUGGUGGUCUCCUGCACCCACCCACACACGCAUUCAUUCAUUCAGCAGCAUCACCAAGUGUAUGCAUGCGUAUGGAGCAGAGCAGAGGAGAGGAUUCACGGAGGAGUACCUGCCAUUCGAAUGGGUAUACAAAGGAGUAG
Molecule: ribosomal RNA, 297 nt
Filed under: Triticum aestivum (bread wheat)
Lineage: Eukaryota; Viridiplantae; Streptophyta; Magnoliopsida; Poales; Poaceae
Description: partial small subunit ribosomal RNA
Source: RNAcentral